This 66-nucleotide transfer RNA is filed under the name Dendrocerus sp. ZJUH_2016009. Its description in RNAcentral is "tRNA-Asp". Lineage: Eukaryota; Metazoa; Arthropoda; Insecta; Hymenoptera; Megaspilidae. The record is from RNAcentral.
AAAGACUUAGUUAAUUUCCUAUAACAUUAAAUUGUCAAUUUAAAGUAAUUUAAAUAAUUUUCUUUA